Canis lupus familiaris (dog) is the source of this 2630-nucleotide long non-coding RNA. RefSeq lists it as uncharacterized. NCBI's taxonomy places the organism in Eukaryota, Metazoa, Chordata, Mammalia, Carnivora, Canidae. The record is from RefSeq and is a predicted model, not a curated record. The transcript has 3 exons.
GCAGUGAGCAGCUGUGACCACCCAGCGGCUGCUGAGCAGGGAGCCCGCACAGUGGUGGGUGCCGUUCUUCUGGAGGCUCACGACCCAGGGCCACUGGGCGUCGGUGCUGUCUUCGCCACCUACGAUCCGGUUCAGCUGCUGGGGCUUCCCGCAGGCUGGGGGUGCUGGCGGAGGAGGGGCCCAUUUCUGUCACCCGGGGCCUUCUGGCCCUGCUGGCACCCCGUGUCCUCCUGGCCUCCUCCGGCCUCUGCCCUCCCCCGCUGCCUUCCCGCGCCCUCCGCCCCCUGCUGCCCUGCCCCGGGCCCUCGCCCAGUCCCUGCUCUGCCCUGCAGGCCCCGCCGCUGCCUGCUCGGCGCCCUUGUGACCUGCUCCCCCCACAGAGGACACAAGCGCCCCCUCCCACCGCGCAGGACCCCACUCACUGGCGAUCUCCGCAGCACGGAGGGCGGCUGGGGGCGAGACAAAGAAGGGUCAGGCGGCGGAGGGGAGCCCCCCGGGGCCCGGGGCAGGUCCCCAGGUCCAGGGUGGGGCAUUUCCUGGAGCCCAGGCUGGGCGAUGGAAACGUCAGGCUGGAAGCUGCGGCCUCCCCUCCCGCCAGCUUCCUGUCCAGCCUGUGCCCGCGCUCCGUGCCACCUGCCUGCUGGAGGAGGAACUGGCUCCUGGGUGCCUGGCACCGAGGGCAGGGGCGGGGAGCCCACCCCGACCCUCUGGGGCGCUCCCCCCAGACCUGAGGCUGCGGCCCGGGAGACCCUCUCAACCCCACACCCAAGGCCUGGAAGCCUGCGGACCCAAGAGCUGGGAGGGACAAGGACAAGGUCAGGCCUCUGCCCAGAGUCGUCCCCUGCUGGCAGCCACUGGACAUGGCAGAGAGGAGCGAGCCAGUGCAGAAGGGGAGGGGACAGGGCCGGAGGGGACAGGGCUGAGGGCCGGGGGCAGGCAGGUGCGGGAGGCCAAGGGAAGGCGCUGGGUAUGGACGGGGACGGGCCGCAGGUCGUCAGGACUCACCUGCAGAAGCCAGAAGCAGCAAGGGGGUGACGAUCCUGAGACAGCCCCCACCUGGGGCUGGGGGGCCUCUGGAAACCAUCAUGGCCAGCGGGGGCGCAGGCACAGCUGGGAGAGCAGGCCUGCCCGAGAGGGAGUGUGCAGAGUUCCCUGGGUCCCCCAGGUUUUAUCCUAGAGGUGGAAUGCCGUUGGACCAGUCCCCCAAGAGGGCAGUCUAAUUCUUCUCCGGACCCGACCCUACAGACCCGACUCUACCGAUCCUACCGGAGAAACAACGGGGAGAAAAACCAGACGUGCCCCCUCGUGACUGUGAAGCUCGGACGCUCCGGGGCAGGUGGGCAGAGCGUCUUCCUCCAGGCCAGGCCUCAGUUUACCCAGCUGUGAGGAGGGCUGGUCCCCGCCUGUGUGUCCUGGGCUGGAGCCGCCCACCAACUGAGCAACGCGGGGCCGCCCCAUCCGUGGGCAACGUCCUGCGGGCGCCGAUGGUCUCGGCGGGUGGCCCUGUGGACACCGCCCGCGGCUCUCCUUGGCAGGGAUGACCUCCCCUGGUGGAGCCACGCUCCUGGGAACCCACCUGUCACCCGGGGCCUCCUGCCUCCAGAGUCCAUGAGGCCCCAGCCCUGUCCCAGGUCCCGCUCAGGGCCCCCAUCCCGCACGGGCCGCACCCCCGGCCUCGGUUCUGCCCCGACCGGCCGCAGAGCUCUGCACCGCCCCCUUCCACGUGGUGCGGCGCCAGGGUGCUCGGGGCUCCCCCAACCCCUUCCCCAUCUUCUGGCUCUCCAGCCCCACUCCCACCCACGCCUAAAUUUCUGGGGAACAAAGAUUUCCUGACCUUACUGCCAAUCCUUGUGACACCCGUGUGAGAUGGGGGCUGAGCACCCCCAGUCCUUGGCCUUCCUUUGUCUGGUCUUGGGGUUCCCGGUCCCGGUUGUCUAAGUGGCAACCCCAGCUGCCUCUUAGAAUGUGGGACUUCCAGGGUCCAGGUAUUAAUUAUGUGACUCUUGGGGGCACCUGGGGGGCUCAGCAGUUGAGCAUCUGCCUUGGCUCAGGUCGUGAUCCCGGGGUCCUGGGAUCGAGUCUCACGUUGGGCUCCCCACAGGGAGCCUGCUUCUCCCUCUGCCUGUGUCUCUGCCUCUGUCUCUGUCUCUCAUGAAUAAAUACAUAAAAUCGCUUGUCCACGACCAGGAGGGGUGAGCCCUAGGCCGGACAGGGCCGGGCCCAGAGGAGCCAGCGGGGAACAAGGGCAGAGGGCAACGGGCAAGCUGGCCGUGCCAACUCGCUGGGGACCCAGCGCCAGCUUGGUAACAUGCCGCUGACUCACAGACCCAGGAGAGAGGGAAGGACCUCAGUCUUGAGGUCAGAAGUCAGCCAAGGGCUCACGGCAGGGAAGUGAACGUUGCACGGGAGCAGCCUGCCUGCGGGCAGGCGCACAAUGAGGGCCCCGGUCCAGGGCCCCGCGGGGAGCCCUCAGAGCUGGGAGCUGCAGGCCCCCGCUUUCCUUCAGGGCGCCCUCCUGAGAAGUGACCUAGCCCCCCGGUGACCUGCGUAGUCAUGCCUGCAAGGGGGAGCGUGGAAAACCAGCCCCAACCUCCUCUGCAGGGUGGAGAGCCACCUCCAACCACGUUCCU